GCCAAAGAUUUCAGCCAAAACUGGGAGUUUUACCUGAGUAAGGAUUCCAGAACCAAGCUCAGAUAUGCUUUUCAUCUAAGAACCAGAAUUACAGCUUAAUUCUUGAUUCUUAGUGAAAACUUGGCACGUUCUAAAUAACCUGGAAGCAUGUACGUGAGAAUUCACGUCUGCGAUUUUGCUUUCACAUUUCACUUUCCAAGCUACUUAUUGCUAAUUAGCAGGUGUCAGUGCAAGAACUAUGGUCAAUAAAUCCUUCAUCUUUCUGCA
This is a long non-coding RNA of Leopardus geoffroyi (Geoffroy's cat), 267 nucleotides long. RefSeq lists it as uncharacterized. The transcript has 2 exons. The record is from RefSeq and is a predicted model, not a curated record. NCBI's taxonomy places the organism in Eukaryota, Metazoa, Chordata, Mammalia, Carnivora, Felidae.